CCUACGGGAGGCAGCAGUGAGGAAUAUUGGUCAAUGGCCGAAAGGCUGAACCAGCCAAGUCGCGUGAAGGAUGACUGUCCUAAGGAUUGUAAACUUCUUUUGUCAAGGAAUAAAACGAGGCUCGUGUGCCUGUUUGAGUGUACUUUAUGAAUAAGGAUCGGCUAACUCCGUGCCAGCAGCCGCGGUAAUACGGAGGAUCCGAGCGUUAUCCGGAUUUAUUGGGUUUAAAGGGAGCGUAGAUGGGUUGUUAAGUCAGUUGGGAAAGUUUGCGGCUCAACCGUAAGAGUGCAAUUGAUACUGGCAGUCUUGAGUACAGUUGAGGUAUGCGGAAUUCGUGGUGUAGCGGUGAAAUGCUUAGAUAUUACGAAGAACCCCGAUUGCGAAGGCAGCAUACUA
Molecule: ribosomal RNA, 396 nt
Filed under: uncultured bacterium
Lineage: Bacteria
Description: partial 16S ribosomal RNA
Rfam family: Bacterial small subunit ribosomal RNA
Source: RNAcentral